This 331-nucleotide ribosomal RNA is filed under the name uncultured bacterium. RNAcentral's name for it is "partial 16S ribosomal RNA". It matches the Rfam family "Bacterial small subunit ribosomal RNA", at positions 338 to 683 of the family's 1533-position model. The record is from RNAcentral.
CCUACGGGAGGCAGCAGUGGGGAAUAUUGGGCAAUGGGCGAAAGCCUGACCCAGCAAUGCCGCGUGAAUGAAGAAGGUCUUAGGAUUGUAAAAUUCUGUCAGAGGGGAAGAAAAAAAUGACGGUAACAUAGGAGGAAGCCCAGGCUAACUCCGGGCCAGCAGCCGAGGUAAUACGUAGGGGGAGAGCGUUGUCCGGAAUUACUGGGCGUAACGAGAGCGUAGGCGGCACUCCAAGUCUCAUGUGAAAGACCCGGGCUUAACUUGGGGGUUGCAUGGGAAACUGUCGAGCUUGAGUACAGUAGAGGCAAGCGGAAUUCCUAGUGUAGCGGUG